This 377-nucleotide ribosomal RNA is filed under the name uncultured Nitrososphaerota archaeon. RNAcentral's name for it is "bacterial SSU rRNA". It matches the Rfam family "Archaeal small subunit ribosomal RNA", at positions 506 to 883 of the family's 1478-position model. The record is from RNAcentral. Lineage: Archaea; Thermoproteati; Nitrososphaerota.
GGGCCUAAAGCAUCCGUAGCCGGCUGCUCAAGUUUCCGGUUAAAUCCACACGCUUAACGUAUGGGCUGCCGGAAAUACUGUUCAGCUAGGGAGUGGGAGAGGUAGACGGUACUCGAUAGGAAGGGGUAAAAUCCUUUGAUCUAUUGAUGACCACCUGUGGCGAAGGCGGUCUACCAGAACACGUUCGACGGUGAGGGAUGAAAGCUGGGGGAGCAAACCGGAUUAGAUACCCGGGUAGUCCCAGCUGUAAACGAUGCAGACUCGGUGAUGCAUUGGCUUAUGGCCAGUGCAGUGCCGCAGGGAAGCCGUUAAGUUUGCCGCCUGGGAAGUACGUACGCAAGUAUGAAACUUAAAGGAAUUGGCGGGGGAGCACAAGC